Molecule: small RNA, 101 nt
Filed under: Vibrio azureus NBRC 104587
Lineage: Bacteria; Pseudomonadati; Pseudomonadota; Gammaproteobacteria; Vibrionales; Vibrionaceae
Description: Qrr RNA
Rfam family: Qrr RNA
About the family: This family represents a set of small RNAs (the Qrr RNAs) that are thought to be involved in the regulation of quorum sensing in Vibrio species. It is believed that these RNAs, guided by a protein, Hfq, can mediate the destabilisation of the quorum-sensing master regulators LuxR/HapR mRNAs.
Source: Rfam by way of RNAcentral
UGCCCCGUUAGUCUAGGGGCUCCUAGCCAAAUUGACGUUGUUAGUGAACAGCCUUGUUCUUCUAACGAAGCCAAUCACUUUUUGUGAUUGGCUUUAUUUUU